GCUCAAGUUAGCUGGAAGCAGCGAAGUUUCAAGGCUAGAAGAGAAUUUUCAUUAUUUAUCAAGCCCCUGACUUGGCCCUCCGGAGGCUAAGUUGCAGGUUCGAUCCCUGCCGAGAGCGCCA
RNAcentral lists this transfer RNA (121 nucleotides) under Pseudoalteromonas shioyasakiensis. RNAcentral's name for it is "tRNA-Arg". Lineage: Bacteria; Pseudomonadati; Pseudomonadota; Gammaproteobacteria; Alteromonadales; Pseudoalteromonadaceae. The record is from RNAcentral. RNAcentral also lists the same sequence under 1 other name.